AUUGAACGCUGGCGGCAUGCUUUACACAUGCAAGUCGAACGGCAGCGCGGGCUUCGGCCUGGCGGCGAGUGGCGAACGGGUGAGUAAUGCAUCGGAACGUGCCCAGUAGUGGGGGAUAGCCCGGCGACAGCCGGAUUAAUACCGCAUACGACCUGAGGGUGAAAGCGGGGGACCGACAGGCCUCGCGCUAUUGGAGCGGCCGAUGUCGGAUUAGCUAGUUGGUGGGGUAAAGGCUUACCCAGGCGACGAUCCGUAGCUGGUCUGAGAGGACGACCAGCCACACUGGGACUGAGACACGGCCCAGACUCCUACGGGGGGCAGCAGUGGGGAAUUUUGGACAAUGGGGGCAACCCUGAUCCAGCCAUGCCGCGUGCGGGAAGAAGGCCUUCGGGUUGUAAACCGCUUUUGUUCGGGAAGAAAUCCUCUGGGCUAAUACCCCGGGGGGAUGACGGUACCGGAAGAAUAAGCACCGGCUAACUACGUG
Molecule: ribosomal RNA, 484 nt
Filed under: uncultured bacterium
Lineage: Bacteria
Description: partial 16S ribosomal RNA
Rfam family: Bacterial small subunit ribosomal RNA
Source: RNAcentral